GAUGAACGCUGGCGGUGUGCCUAAUACAUGCAAGUCGAGCGGACACACGAUGAGCUUGCUCCCCUGACGUUGGCGACUGGCGGGUGAGUAACACGUGCAUCACCUUCCUCUUUUACUUGGAUGACUUCGGGAAACCACUGCCGCUACUGCCUAAUACAUUCUACCGCAUGGAUCAAUAGUUAUUCACACCUUUCCUGUCUCUUUUAGACGAUUCCGCGUCGCAUUAGCUAGUUGGUAAGGUAACGGCUUACCAAGGCUACGAUGCGUAGCUGAGCUGAGAGGAUGAUCAGCCACACUGGAACUGAGACACGGUCCAGACUCCUACGGGAGGCAGCAGUAGGGAAUAUUGCGCAAUGGGCGAAAGCCUGACGGAGCAACGCCGCGUGAGUGAAGAAGGUCUUCGGAUCGUAAAGCUCUGUUGUUAGGGAAGAACAGAUGUAGAAGAAACUAUGCACGUCUUGACGGUACCUAAACAGAAAGCCACGGCUAACUUCGUG
Molecule: ribosomal RNA, 497 nt
Filed under: uncultured bacterium
Lineage: Bacteria
Description: partial 16S ribosomal RNA
Rfam family: Bacterial small subunit ribosomal RNA
Source: RNAcentral